RNAcentral lists this transfer RNA (69 nucleotides) under Legionella pneumophila. RNAcentral's name for it is "tRNA-Ser". It matches the Rfam family "tRNA". From Rfam's summary of the family: Transfer RNA (tRNA) molecules are approximately 80 nucleotides in length. Their secondary structure includes four short double-helical elements and three loops (D, anti-codon, and T loops). Further hydrogen bonds mediate the characteristic L-shaped molecular structure. tRNAs have two regions of fundamental functional importance: the anti-codon, which is responsible for specific mRNA codon recognition, and the 3' end, to which the tRNAs corresponding amino acid is attached (by aminoacyl-tRNA synthetases). tRNAs cope with the degeneracy of the genetic code in two manners: having more than one tRNA (with a specific anti-codon) for a particular amino acid; and 'wobble' base-pairing, i.e. permitting non-standard base-pairing at the 3rd anti-codon position. The record is from RNAcentral. Lineage: Bacteria; Pseudomonadati; Pseudomonadota; Gammaproteobacteria; Legionellales; Legionellaceae.
GGGUUGUAGGACUACAGUACUUGGCUUCGAACCAAGGUGUCGGGGGUUCGAGUCCCUCCGAGCGCGCCA